GAAGCGAAAGUGACGGUACCUGCAGAAAAAGCGCCGGCUAACUACGUGCCAGCAGCCGCGGUAAUACGUAGGGCGCAAGCGUUAUCCGGAAUUAUUGGGCGUAAAGAGCUCGUAGGCGGUUUGUCGCGUCUGCUGUGAAAUCCGGAGGCUCAACCUCCGGCCUGCAGUGGGUACGGGCAGACUAGAGUGCGGUAGGGGAGAUUGGAAUUCCUGGUGUAGCGGUGGAAUGCGCAGAUAUCAGGAGGAACACCGAUGGCGAAGGCAGAUCUCUGGGCCGUAACUGACGCUGAGGAGCGAAAGGGUGGGGAGCAAACAGGCUUAGAUACCCUGGUAGUCCACCCCGUAAACGUUGGGAACUAGUUGUGGGGUCCAUUCCACGGAUUCCGUGACGCAGCUAACGCAUUAAGUUCCCCGCCUGGGGAGUACGGCCGCAAGGCUAAAACUCAAAGGAAUUGACGGGGACCCGCACAAGCGGCGGAGCAUGCGGAUUAAUUCGAUGCAACGCGAAGAACCUUACCAAGGCUUGACAUAUACGAGAACGGGCCAGAAAUGGUCAACUCUUUGGACACUCGUAAACAGGUGGUGCAUGGUUGUCGUCAGCUCGUGUCGUGAGAUGUUGGGUUAAGUCCCGCAACGAGCGCAACCCUCGUUCUAUGUUGCCAGCACGUAAUGGUGGGAACUCAUGGGAUACUGCCGGGGUCAACUCGGAGGAAGGUGGGGAUGACGUCAAAUCAUCAUGCCCCUUAUGUCUUGGGCUUCACGCAUGCUACAAUGGCCGGUACAAAGGGCUGCAAUACCGCGAGGUGGAGCGAAUCCCAAAAAGCCGGUCCCAGUUCGGAUUGAGGUCUGCAACUCGACCUCAUGAAGUCGGAGUCGCUAGUAAUCGCAGAUCAGCAACGCUGCGGUGAAUACGUUCCCGGGUCUUGUACACACCGCCCGUCAAGUCAUGAAAGUCGGUAACACCUGAAGCCGGUGGCCUAACCCUUGYGGAGGGAGCCGU
This 1000-nucleotide ribosomal RNA is filed under the name Microbacterium foliorum. RNAcentral's name for it is "bacterial SSU rRNA". It matches the Rfam family "Bacterial small subunit ribosomal RNA", at positions 460 to 1456 of the family's 1533-position model. Lineage: Bacteria; Bacillati; Actinomycetota; Actinomycetes; Micrococcales; Microbacteriaceae. The record is from RNAcentral.